CUCAUGGAAAGCCCAAAGUACCAAGCCUAAACUACCAAAUACCUCUCACCAAAACUAAUAAUGAGGAAGACCCUUGUUCUUGUUUGUGCUCUCUUCAUCUCCUUCGCUCUUCUCUUCCUUCCUUCCAUUGAAGCUCGGGCACUCCACACUGGUGAAGUCCUUCCAGGACCGGGACCGCCGGCACGUUGCGGACGAAGUGGGGGCAGAUAUACACCGUGCAUACCGCGACCUAAGCCAAAGAAGUGUGGUAUCUAUGAACGUUGCCCUCCGGGAGCUAGUCCUCCAGAGCCAUGAGACCAUGCAGCCAAAGCAAGCCGCUCAUGAUGGCCAAAUCGCAUGAUAAUAAUAUGAGUACUUUUCGCGGCACCGUCGUCGCGAACGAAUAAAGAAGCGAGCGAAGUCAAUUACUCUAAUGGAGACUCGUCGCCACGAACCAAAUAUAUUAAGGAUGAAUAUUAUGUCGGAUGCAUUUUAAGGUAGGAAACGGUAAAGCAAUGGAAGAAUCGUUUAGUUCAAAGUAUUGUGUCUUUUGAGGGAAAAAAGGAAUGGAGACGCAGCCUGUCUCUCAGGUUUCAUCUUCUUCUUAGACUCCUUUCUAAAUGUGUGUGCCAUGAAGUGCUUUCGCUGCGAUCGAUUAUUGUCAAAUGAACUUGUUAAAGUAUUUAAAAUACUAAAUCGUAUCUUUAGGAGGAUAGAUUGAGGAACUUCAAUGGGCGAUUAGGGCAACAAAGGGCAAAGAUUUGGCUACCAAACUCCUAAAAGUAUCUUUCAUAGCAAUCAUAUAUUUUAUUUGGAUGGAGCGCAACCAUAGACGAUGUCAAAACAAAUCAAUUGACAUCCAUAUUAUUUUGGCCAAGGUGCGUAUAAUGUAAGAGGUAGACCUUUACUUUACUAAAAGAUAAACCUUCCCAGUCAAAUGUUGAAUUGGCUACUAUGUGGACACUUCCUACCUCCAUAUUUUUGAAUUAUUUGAUCUAUUUGUAAUGUCGGGGGAUGCCCCUUGUUGACACCUAAAUUUUACAAUUUUAUUAUGUACAAGAUUAGAAAUUAGUCACCAAAAAAAAAAGUAAAGAAAAAAAAAAAAAAAACAAAAAACAAAACAUAAAAAACGCUUAGAGGUUGGGUCGGGCCGUAUCCGGCCAUGGCCCAGCCCGCCCCCUUUCUUCCUCUUCUUUCCCCCUCGCAUGGGCCUAGGCCCAGCCCGGCAUCUUUUCCUCCUUCGCGGCCCAUCCCAUUUGUCUUCUCUCUCUCGAGCUCAAACCUGCAAAAAAGUAGAAACAGCAGCGGAGACAGAGAGGAGCAGGAGAUCGCGAGGGGCAGAUGGUAGCGUGAUCCGCGGGUCGGGAUCGGUCUGGCCAGCAAGCUCGCAGUGGCAGAGGCCAUGUGCGCCUGCUGGUCACCCUUAAAAGUGAAGGUCUCGCUCAUUUGCAACGGGGGGUGUUCUGGGCUGUUUUUUUGGGGUCGAGAGAGAAACAGAGAGUACCGAAGAGCGAGCUGGAGAGAGAGCGAGCUGGAGAGAGAGUGCAAGCUCGAGAGAGUGUUUGGUCGUCGCCGGAGGUCCGUUCGUCAGUUGCCAUUCGCCGCAGUCCUCCUCUCGAACCAGGAUGGCAAGAUUGGUUAAAUGACUUUUUCACUACGAGGAAGGAAAACUUUGCGUGUGAACUCGAGUCUUCCCGAUCGGGACGAAAGAUCCGAGUUGACGCGGACAUAUGACAGCUUGCAAGGGCCCGGAGAUCUCAAUUACGGUGGAGACAUCAAUAAGUGAAGGAAUUUGGGUCAUAAGACGGUUCGGGCCGGGUUUCAUUUUUUUUUUCCCUUCUUUUUCCUUCCUUCGCGCUCUUUAUCGCACCAACAGCUCCAGAAAAUAGAAUGCCAUGGACGGAUCUUGGGAUCCGCCGCCGCAGUGAUGGAUCCUGAAAUGCUUAUCUGCCACGUACGGGUUCAGCCCUUGAAAUGCUUCCGGAAUUUUGAGGCCAUGUUGAAGAAAGUCUGUCUGAUCCAACCAGCCGUCCCGGUUCAUCUCGUUCUGCAAACAGCAUUUAGCAUCUCAUGUGCAAGUCUGCAGAAUAUUUUGUCGCCCCAAAUGUUCAAUUAAAGAAGCCUUGCUCCUACACCAAGAGCAGUGUUGAUACAUGGUUCCGCCGUGUUCAACCCCGCUAAAUCUUCAGUACUCUGACGCCACGCAUGCAACCCUUUUUAGUUGAUUUUCAAAUCGUGUUUAUAUAUGUACAGAAGGUAGAUACUGUUUUCUUGAAGAAGGGGAAAGUAAGGUGUUUGAUUUUUGUUU
Molecule: long non-coding RNA, 2287 nt
Organism: Eucalyptus grandis
Lineage: Eukaryota; Viridiplantae; Streptophyta; Magnoliopsida; Myrtales; Myrtaceae
Exons: 3
Source: RefSeq, a predicted model, not a curated record